AUGAACCAAUUCAUUCUCGCUGCUUUCCUUCUGGCUGCCAUCUUUGCGGUGUCUGAAGCCGCAGUUGCUAAGAAGAAGGUUAAGGAAGGAGAGUCGCUUGUCAUCGACUCUAUGAACAGAUUGCAUCGAAUUUUGUGAAUCGAGUCGUAGGCACCCAAAACUUUUCUUGAGCUAUUCCUAGAACUACGACAGUUGCCACAGUGUUCAAUAUCAUCUUUGAAAACGUUUAUAAACAAGAAAAUGACAAGUUUUCUCCUACUUGCCAUCAUUGGCACUGUUCUUGUAGGAGUGGCUCAUGGAGCACCUGUUGCGUCAAAAGACACCAAUUGUACUGAAGGAUCGCUUGAUGCAAUUUUAUGUCUCCUGAAUCUGCAAAAAUUCGCCGAACGAUCUCACGAGCUUGAUAUGAAUGACAAAGACGAGUUGAAGGGCUUCAAGGAUACUUGCGAUUCUCUGCGAAGCUGUCUGGCCAAUCUCAAAUGCUCACCAGUGCCAAAGGAUCAGAAAGAAGCAGCGCUCAGGAGUAUAGAAAAGUAUUGCGAUGCUGUUGUGUACGUAUACAGUGAUUUUGCACAGUGCAGGGAAAAAUUGAACGCAAAAAAAUCAAAGUGUUUUGAUGACUGGGACCCAAUUCCAAAUGUUCAUAAAGAAAACGACCCGAAAAAAGUUGAGCAAUUGAAAAAGGACACUUGCAAAAAUUAUUUCGGAAAGGAUGACUGCUUGAAGAAAGAGGUUAUUGAAAUAUGCAGUCAACAGGAAUGGGAUAAGCUCCGCGAGCACUUCAUCGGUUUUUCUGGAGCACUUGUGAGCGAAUGCGACUUCAGCAGACUUAGAUAA
This is an RNA transcript of Caenorhabditis elegans, 837 nucleotides long. It is a transcript of the gene named Non-coding transcript of protein-coding gene C17B7.3a, with no coding region annotated. The transcript is spliced from 5 exons. NCBI's taxonomy places the organism in Eukaryota, Metazoa, Nematoda, Chromadorea, Rhabditida, Rhabditidae. The record is from RefSeq and is marked reviewed.